UCCCAAUUGCCCUCCACGUUCUAAUUUGAUUGCCGUUGGCUUGCUGCUGGAUCCAUGGGCUUGGAGUUUUCUUAGCUUACGUGCAUGUAUAUUUGACGUGCAUGGGUUCUUGCAUGACGUCCCUCUCACUGUCCGCUGUCCGAUUGCCGACCUGCAGUAGGGGCCUCUUGGCCCCGGAGGCACGUGCCGUUGGCCAAGCCCUCGCGGCGAAAGAGCGGCGCGAGCUGCCUUGAAGUACAAUUCCCACCGAGUGGCGGGUAGAAUCCUUUGCAGACGACUUAAAUACGCGACGGGAUAUU
RNAcentral lists this long non-coding RNA (299 nucleotides) under Populus tremula. RNAcentral's name for it is "long non-coding RNA (PTRE_LNC001018)". The record is from RNAcentral. Lineage: Eukaryota; Viridiplantae; Streptophyta; Magnoliopsida; Malpighiales; Salicaceae.